GAUGAACGCUGGCGGCGUGCCUAAUACAUGCAAGUCGAACGAACAGACCCUGCUCUUGCGGCUUUGUCGUUAGCCGCACGCGUGUGUGUAACACGUGUAUACCCUACCUAUCAUACUGAGAUAACUUCGGAACACCGGCGAUUAUACCGGAUAAUCUCUUGAACCGCGUGGUUGAAUGGUGAGAUACGGUUUUGCUGGCAGUACUAGCUGCAUACGCGCUGCAUUAGCUAGUUGGUAAGGUAAAGGCCUACCAAGGCUACGAUGCGUAGCCGACCUGAGAGGGUGAUCGGCCACACUGGAACGGAGACACGGUCGAGACUCCUACGGGAGGCAGCAGUAGGGAAUCUGCCGCAAUGGGCGAAAGCCUGACGGAGCAACGCCGCGUGAGUGAUGAAGGUCUUCGGAGCGUAAAACUCUGUUAUUAGGGAAGAACAAAUGUGUAAGUAACUAUGCACGUCUUGACGGUACCUAAUCAGAAAGCCACGGCUAACUACGUG
RNAcentral lists this ribosomal RNA (497 nucleotides) under uncultured bacterium. RNAcentral's name for it is "partial 16S ribosomal RNA". It matches the Rfam family "Bacterial small subunit ribosomal RNA", at positions 28 to 507 of the family's 1533-position model. The record is from RNAcentral.